UACAGAGGGUGCAAGCGUUGUUCGGAAUCAUUGGGCGUAAAGAGCUCGUAGGUGGCUUGUCGCGUCUGCCGUGAAAGCCCGAGGCUUAACCUCGGGUCUGCAUUCGAUACGGGCUAGCUAGAGUGUGGUAGGGGAGAUCGGAAUUCCUGGUGUAGCGGUGAAAUGCGCAGAUAUCAGGAGGAACACCGGUGGCGAAGGCGGAUCUCUGGGCCAUUACUGACGCUGAGGAGCGAAAGCGUGGGGAGCGAACAGG
RNAcentral lists this ribosomal RNA (253 nucleotides) under uncultured bacterium. RNAcentral's name for it is "partial 16S ribosomal RNA". It matches the Rfam family "Bacterial small subunit ribosomal RNA", at positions 524 to 776 of the family's 1533-position model. The record is from RNAcentral.